AUCGCUUCUCGGCCUUUUGGCUAAGAUCAAGUGUAGUAUCUGUUCUUAUCAGUUUAAUAUCUGAUACGUCCUCUAUCUGAGGACAAUAUAUUAAAUGGAUUUUUGGAGCUAGGAGUUGGAAUAGGAGCUUGCUCCGUCCACUCCACGCAUCGACCUGGUAUUGCAGUACCUCCAGGAACGGUGCACCCCCU
RNAcentral lists this small nuclear RNA (191 nucleotides) under Mus caroli (Ryukyu mouse). Its description in RNAcentral is "snRNA (MGP_CAROLIEiJ_G0034830.1)". It matches the Rfam family "U2 spliceosomal RNA". Rfam says of the family: U2 is a small nuclear RNA (snRNA) component of the spliceosome (involved in pre-mRNA splicing). Complementary binding between U2 snRNA (in an area lying towards the 5' end but 3' to hairpin I) and the branchpoint sequence (BPS) of the intron results the bulging out of an unpaired adenosine, on the BPS, which initiates a nucleophilic attack at the intronic 5' splice site, thus starting the first of two transesterification reactions that mediate splicing. Lineage: Eukaryota; Metazoa; Chordata; Mammalia; Rodentia; Muridae. The record is from RNAcentral.